CUAUUGUUAAGGAACUCUGCAAAAUGAGUCCGUAACUUCGGAAGAAGGACUGCUGGUUUUAUACCAGCCGCAGCAAAUAGGCCCAAACAACUGUUUAUCAAAAACACAGGUUUCUGCAAAAUCGUAAGAUGAAGUAUAGGGGCUGACGCCUGCCCAGUGCUGGAAGGUUAAAAGGAGGACUUAGCUUCGGCGAAGGUCUUAAUUGAAGCCCCAGUGAACGGCGGCCGUAACUAUAACGGUCCUAAGGUAGCGAAAUUCCUUGUCGGGUAAGUUCCGACCCGCAUGAAAGGCGUAAUGAUUUGGGCGCUGUCUCAACAAUAGACUCGGUGAAAUUUAAAUUCCAGUGAAGAUGCUGGGUACCCGCGACAGGACGGAAAGACCCCGUGGAGCUUUACUGUAGCUUGAUAUUGAAUGUUUGUGCUGCAUGUGCAGGAUAGGUAGGAGACUUUGAAGUCGGAACGCUAGUUUCGAUUGAGUCACCCUUGAGAUACUACCUCUGUUGUAUGAACGUUCUAACUCUGAUCAGUUAUCCUGAUCGAAGACAGUGUCUGGCAGGCAGUUUGACUGGGGCGGUCGCCUCCUAAAAGAUAACGGAGGCGCUCAAAGGUUUGCUCAGAAUGGUUGGAAAUCAUUCGUAGCGUGUAAAGGCAUAAGCAAGCUUGACUGUGAGACUGACAAGUCGAGCAGGUACGAAAGUAGGACUUAGUGAUCCGGUGGUUCCGUAUGGAAGGGCCAUCGCUCAACGGACAAAAGCUACCCCGGGGAUAACAGGCUCAUCUCCCCCAAGAGUCCACAUCGACGGGGAGGUUUGGCACCUCGAUGUCGGCUCAUCGCAUCCUGGGGCUGUAGUCGGUCCCAAGGGUUGGGCUGUUCGCCCAUUAAAGCGGUACGCGAGCUGGGUUCAGAACGUCGUGAGACAGUUCGGUCCCUAUCCGUCGUGGGCGCAGGAAAUUUGAGAGGAUCUGUCCUUAGUACGAGAGGACCGGGAUGGACAUACCUCUGGUGUACCAGUUGUUCUGCCAAGAGCACCGCUGGGUAGCUACGUAUGGAUUAGAUAAUCGCUGAAAGCAUCUAAGUGAGAAACUAACCUCGAGAUGAGAUUUCCCAUUCGUCAGAAGUAAGACCCCUGAGAGACGAUCAGGUAGAUAGGCUAGAAGUGGAAGUGUAGUGAUGCAUGGAGCGGACUAGUACUAAUAGGUCGAGGACUUAACCAAG
RNAcentral lists this ribosomal RNA (1215 nucleotides) under Oenococcus oeni. RNAcentral's name for it is "bacterial LSU rRNA". It matches the Rfam family "Bacterial large subunit ribosomal RNA", at positions 1699 to 2925 of the family's 2925-position model. Lineage: Bacteria; Bacillati; Bacillota; Bacilli; Lactobacillales; Lactobacillaceae. The record is from RNAcentral.